CAUGUGGUUUAAUUCGAUGAUACGCGAGGAACCUUACCUGGGCUCGAACGUAAGAUGACUGUAGGUGAAAGCUUACAUCUCUUCGGAGCAUUUUACGAGGUGCUGCAUGGUUGUCGUCAGCUCGUGCCGUGAGGUGUCGGGUUAAGUCCCAUAACGAGCGCAACCCUACCUUUAGUUGCCAUCAGGUAAUGCUGGGGACUCUAAAGGAACUGCCUACGCAAGUAGUGAGGAAGCGGGGAUGACGUCAAAUCAGCACGGCCCUUACGUCCAGGGCUACACACGUGCUACAAUGGCCGAUACAGAGGGCAGCUACCUGGUGACAGGAUGCAAAUCUCCAAAGUCGGUCUCAGUUCGGAUCGGAGUCUGCAACCCGACUCCGUGAAGUUGGAUUCGCUAGUAAUCGCGCAUCAGCCAUGGCGCGGUGAAUACGUUCCCGGGCCUU
Molecule: ribosomal RNA, 442 nt
Filed under: uncultured Sphingobacteriales bacterium
Lineage: Bacteria; Pseudomonadati; Bacteroidota; Sphingobacteriia; Sphingobacteriales
Description: bacterial SSU rRNA
Rfam family: Bacterial small subunit ribosomal RNA
Source: RNAcentral